CAGUAGCCGCGGUAAUACGAAGGUCCCGAGCGUUGUUCGGAAUCACUGGGCGUAAAGGGAGCGUAGGCGGCGUGGUAAGUCAGAUGUGAAAUCCCGGGGCUCAACCCCGGAACUGCAUCCGAUACUGCCAUGCUAGAGGAUUGGAGAGGCAGCUGGAAUUCUUGGUGUAGCAGUGAAACGCGUGGAGAUCAAGAGGAACACUCGUGGCGAAAGCGAGCUACUGGACAAUAACUGACGCUGAGGCUCGAAGGCCAGGGUAGCGAAAGGGAUUAGAUACCCCCGUAGUCCCUGUCUCUUAUAC
RNAcentral lists this ribosomal RNA (301 nucleotides) under uncultured bacterium. Its description in RNAcentral is "partial 16S ribosomal RNA". It matches the Rfam family "Bacterial small subunit ribosomal RNA", at positions 509 to 807 of the family's 1533-position model. The record is from RNAcentral.